RNAcentral lists this long non-coding RNA (284 nucleotides) under Sorghum bicolor (sorghum). Its description in RNAcentral is "long non-coding RNA (SBIC_LNC009793)". Lineage: Eukaryota; Viridiplantae; Streptophyta; Magnoliopsida; Poales; Poaceae. The record is from RNAcentral.
AACUACUACUAAUUAAUUACUUACUUGUACAGCAGGCUGCUCCUUCCCUCGUCGGUUUCUCAUUUCCACUGACCUUACCAAGCUAGCUAGCUAGCUAAAGUGAGACUUUCGAGUGCUGCUGAACGACGACUUGUUCUGAGGAUGAUGAUGCAUGGUGGUGGCAUGCAUGCGUGCUGCAAAAAAAAGUCAAUUUCAAUUCAAGGUGAAAAAAAAAAAUGGCAACUGCUAAGUAAUCCUACCCGUGUAGACCGGGCCGGGAGUACGUAGAAUCAGAUCAGAUCAGA